Long non-coding RNA from Archocentrus centrarchus (flier cichlid), 404 nucleotides. RefSeq lists it as uncharacterized. The record is from RefSeq and is a predicted model, not a curated record. The transcript has 4 exons. NCBI's taxonomy places the organism in Eukaryota, Metazoa, Chordata, Actinopteri, Cichliformes, Cichlidae.
UCAAAUUAGUUAACUGUACUUUUCUACACAAAUAUAGAGUGUAAUGAACUUGUUAAGCAGAGAUUACUAAAGAUAUUAUGUUUUUGAAGUGAAGGGGCGGGGCAUAUUCAAACUCAGUCCUGCUGCAACAUGCACCGUGGCAAGUUCAACGACUCCUGACUGGUCCGUGUGAAGAUGCAGUGGAAGUGCAAAUACUGAUUCUUUGAGAGCUUUGGAGUGGACAAGUUCUGCAGGUUCUGCAUGGCAACGAGGAGUGAGAUCCAAGACAAGGAGAUGGCAGCACACCAGAAGAUGACCUUGAGAGUAAUUUUCACAGAGACAGAUAUAAGAAAGGUUGUUCUGAAUACAAGACCUACUACAGUGGAGGAUUUGAUAGGCAAGCUUAAAGAAUCACUGGGACUUAA